This 373-nucleotide ribosomal RNA is filed under the name uncultured bacterium. RNAcentral's name for it is "bacterial SSU rRNA". It matches the Rfam family "Bacterial small subunit ribosomal RNA", at positions 527 to 896 of the family's 1533-position model. The record is from RNAcentral.
GUAGGGUGCGAGCGUUGUCCGGAUUUAUUGGGCGUAAAGGGCUCGUAGGCGGCUUGUCGCGUCGGGAGUGAAAGCCCGCUGCUUAACGGCGGGUUUGCUUUCGGUACGGGCAGGCUGGAGUACGGCAGGGGAGACUGGAAUUCCUGGUGUAGCGGUGGAAUGCGCAGAUAUCAGGAGGAACACCGGUGGCGAAGGCGGGUCUCUGGGCCGUUACUGACGCUGAGGAGCGAAAGCGUGGGGAGCGAACAGGAUUAGAUACCCUGGUAGUCCACGCUGUAAACGUUGGGCGCUAGGUGUGGGGCCUGUUUCCACGGGUUCCGUGCCGCAGCUAACGCAUUAAGCGCCCCGCCUGGGGAGUACGGCCGCAAGGCUA